RNAcentral lists this ribosomal RNA (965 nucleotides) under Taxes sp. COL173. Its description in RNAcentral is "SSU rRNA". It matches the Rfam family "Eukaryotic small subunit ribosomal RNA", at positions 32 to 942 of the family's 1831-position model. The record is from RNAcentral. Lineage: Eukaryota; Metazoa; Arthropoda; Insecta; Coleoptera; Tenebrionidae.
UUGUCUCAAAGAUUAAGCCAUGCAUGUCUCAGUACAAGCCGAAUUAAGGUGAAACCGCGAAAGGCUCAUUAAAUCAGUUAUGGUUCCUUAGAUCGUACCCACAUUUACUUGGAUAACUGUGGUAAUUCUAGAGCUAAUACAUGCAAACAGAGCCCCAACCGGAAACGGAAGGGGCGCUUUUAUUAGAUCAAAACCAAUCGGUGUCGGUCUCCGUCAUCGUACAACUUGGUGACUCUGAAUAACUUUACGCUGAUCGCACGGUCUCGCACCGGCGACGCAUCUUUCAAAUGUCUGCCUUAUCAACUGUCGAUGGUAGGUUCUGCGCCUACCAUGGUUGUAACGGGUAACGGGGAAUCAGGGUUCGAUUCCGGAGAGGGAGCCUGAGAAACGGCUACCACAUCCAAGGAAGGCAGCAGGCGCGCAAAUUACCCACUCCCGGCACGGGGAGGUAGUGACGAAAAAUAACGAUACGGGACUCAUCCGAGGCCCCGUAAUCGGAAUGAGUACACUCUAAACCCUUUAACGAGGAUCAAUUGGAGGGCAAGUCUGGUGCCAGCAGCCGCGGUAAUUCCAGCUCCAAUAGCGUAUAUUAAAGUUGUUGCGGUUAAAAAGCUCGUAGUCGAAUCUGUGUCCCGCGCCGCCGGUUCAUCGUUCGCGGUGUUAACUGGCGUGCCGCGGGACGUCCUGCCGGUGGGCUUAGCCCGAGAGGGCGGCCCAACUCAAUCCCGCCGCGGUGCUCUUCAUUGAGUGUCGAGGUGGGCCGGCACGUUUACUUUGAACAAAUUAGAGUGCUUAAAGCAGGCUAAAACUUCGCCUGAAUACUGUGUGCAUGGAAUAAUGGAAUAGGACCUCGGUUCUAUUUUGUUGGUUUUCGGAACCCCGAGGUAAUGAUUAAUAGGAACGGAUGGGGGCAUUCGUAUUGCGACGUUAGAGGUGAAAUUCUUGGAUCGUCGCACGACGGACAG